RNAcentral lists this ribosomal RNA (715 nucleotides) under uncultured bacterium. RNAcentral's name for it is "bacterial SSU rRNA". It matches the Rfam family "Bacterial small subunit ribosomal RNA", at positions 92 to 823 of the family's 1533-position model. The record is from RNAcentral.
CGAGUGGCGAACGGGUGAGUAACGCGUGAGGAACCUGCCUCAAAGAGGGGGACAACAGUUGGAAACGACUGCUAAUACCGCAUAAGCCCACGGCUCGGCAUCGAGCAGAGGGAAAAGGAGCAAUCCGCUUUGAGAUGGCCUCGCGUCCGAUUAGCUAGUUGGUGAGGUAACGGCCCACCAAGGCGACGAUCGGUAGCCGGACUGAGAGGUUGAACGGCCACAUUGGGACUGAGACACGGCCCAGACUCCUACGGGAGGCAGCAGUGGGGAAUAUUGCACAAUGGGGGAAACCCUGAUGCAGCGACGCCGCGUGGAGGAAGAAGGUCUUCGGAUUGUAAACUCCUGUUGUUGAGGAAGAUAAUGACGGUACUCGACAAGGAAGUGACGGCUAACUACGUGCCAGCAGCCGCGGUAAAACGUAGGUCACAAGCGUUGUCCGGAAUUACUGGGUGUAAAGGGAGCGCAGGCGGGAGAACAAGUUGGAAGUGAAAUCCAUGGGCUCAACCCAUGAACUGCUUUCAAAACUGUUUUUCUUGAGUAGUGCAGAGGUAGGCGGAAUUCCCGGUGUAGCGGUGGAAUGCGUAGAUAUCGGGAGGAACACCAGUGGCGAAGGCGGCCUACUGGGCACCAACUGACGCUGAGGCUCGAAAGUGUGGGUAGCAAACAGGAUUAGAUACCCUGGUAGUCCACACCGUAAACGAUGAUUACUAGGUGU